GAUGAACGCUGGCAGCGUGCCUAAUACAUGCAAGUCGAGCGAACAGACGAGGAGCUUGCUCCUCUGACGUUAGCGGCGGACGGGUGAGUAACACGUGGAUAACCUACCUAUAAGACUGGGAUAACUUCGGGAAACCGGAGCUAAUACCGGAUAAUAUAUUGAACCGCAUGGUUCAAUAGUGAAAGACGGUUUUGCUGUCACUUAUAGAUGGAUCCGCGCCGCAUUAGCUAGUUGGUAAGGUAACGGCUUACCAAGGCAACGAUGCGUAGCCGACCUGAGGGGGUGAUCGGCCACACUGGAACUGAGACACGGUCCAGACUCCUACGGGAGGCAGCAGUAGGGAAUCUUCCGCAAAGGGCGAAAGCCUGACGGAGCAACGCCGCGUGAGUGAUGAAGGUCUUCGGAUCGUAAAACUCUGUUAUUAGGGAAGAACAAAUGUGUAAGUAACUAUGCACGUCUUGACGGUACCUAAUCAGAAAGCCACGGCUAACUACGUG
This 497-nucleotide ribosomal RNA is filed under the name uncultured bacterium. RNAcentral's name for it is "partial 16S ribosomal RNA". It matches the Rfam family "Bacterial small subunit ribosomal RNA", at positions 28 to 507 of the family's 1533-position model. The record is from RNAcentral.